UGGAGAGUUUGAUCCUGGCUCAGAUUGAACGCUGGCGGCAGGCCUAACACAUGCAAGUCGRACGGUAACAGGGAGCAGCUUGCUGCUSUGCUGACGAGUGGCGGACGGGUGAGUAAUGUCUGGGAAACUGCCUGAUGGAGGGGGAUAACUACUGGAAACGGUAGCUAAUACCGCAUAACGUCUACGGACCAAAGUGGGGGACCUUCGGGCCUCAUGCCAUCAGAUGUGCCCAGAUGGGAUUAGCUAGUAGGUGGGGUAACGGCUCACCUAGGCGACGAUCCCUAGCUGGUCUGAGAGGAUGACCAGCCACACUGGAACUGAGACACGGUCCAGACUCCUACGGGAGGCAGCAGUGGGGAAUAUUGCACAAUGGGCGCAAGCCUGAUGCAGCCAUGCCGCGUGUAUGAAGAAGGCCUUCGGGUUGUAAAGUACUUUCAGCGGGGAGGAAGGUGSUGUGGUUAAUAACCRCAGCAAUUGACGUUACCCGCAGAAGAAGCACCGGCUAACUCCGUGCCAGCAGCCGCGGUA
This 528-nucleotide ribosomal RNA is filed under the name Cronobacter sakazakii. Its description in RNAcentral is "bacterial SSU rRNA". It matches the Rfam family "Bacterial small subunit ribosomal RNA", at positions 1 to 522 of the family's 1533-position model. The record is from RNAcentral. Lineage: Bacteria; Pseudomonadati; Pseudomonadota; Gammaproteobacteria; Enterobacterales; Enterobacteriaceae.